AGUGAACGCUGGCGGUAGGCCUAACACAUGCAAGUCGAACGGCAGCACAGUAAGAGCUUGCUCUUACGGGUGGCGAGUGGCGGACGGGUGAGGAAUACAUCGGAAUCUACUUUUUCGUGGGGGAUAACGUAGGGAAACUUACGCUAAUACCGCAUACGACCUACGGGUGAAAGCAGGGGAUCUUCGGACCUUGCGCGAUUGAAUGAGCCGCUGUCGGAUUAGCUAGUUGGCGGGGUAAAGGCCCACCAAGGCGACGAUCCGUAGCUGGUCUGAGAGGAUGAUCAGCCACACUGGAACUGAGACACGGUCCAGACUCCUGAGGGAGGCAGCAGUGGGGAAUAUUGGACAAUGGGCGCAAGCCUGAUCCAGCCAUACCGCGUGGGUGAAGAAGGCCUUCGGGUUGUAAAGCCCUUUUGUUGGGAAAGAAAAGCAGCAGGUUAAGACCCCGCUGUUCUGACGGUACCCAAAGAAUAAGCACCGGCUAACUUCGUG
This 492-nucleotide ribosomal RNA is filed under the name uncultured bacterium. RNAcentral describes it as "partial 16S ribosomal RNA". It matches the Rfam family "Bacterial small subunit ribosomal RNA", at positions 29 to 507 of the family's 1533-position model. The record is from RNAcentral.